Long non-coding RNA from Chionomys nivalis (European snow vole), 1156 nucleotides. RefSeq lists it as uncharacterized. NCBI's taxonomy places the organism in Eukaryota, Metazoa, Chordata, Mammalia, Rodentia, Cricetidae. The record is from RefSeq and is a predicted model, not a curated record. The transcript has 6 exons.
UGGACGAACAUACCUCUUGGCUCUAAGGUAGCUCCGUCUGCUUUUCCGAGGGAGCGAGGCUGAGUGGGGGGUCCCGCGGUCUCCCGGCCGUCGCCUUCCCACUGCUGGAGACAGAGCAACGGCGGGCGCAUCCUGCAUUCAGGUGGCAGUAUCGAAGCCAAAAGCUUCCAGAAGUGGUUUCUGAAAAAUAAGACUUGAAUAUAUAUGAGUAAGCAAACACAGGAAUCCGGAAAAUCCACAGGCUAUAGAAAUGUGUACAACAUUGCUGUGACAGGAGCAACAGCAUUGACCAUGACAAGACCCAGCAAGCAAUUUGAAGUCUCAAGAGGAAGGCUUAGCCUAGAAGAAGGACCAUGGAGAUGAUGCUCUGUGAAUCCAAUCCAUCAGAUUCACUCUCUGGCAAUGAACAGGAAUGAAGCGCAGAUAAGUCGUUAGAAAACUUUUCGAGGCAAAGCGCCUCGUGUGAUCAGAACAAAGCCGUUUUAUAAUCAGAUUUACCAAGCUGAGAGCGAGUUUCGGGCAAACGGAAGCUGCAGUGUUCUGUCACCAGGAAACACUGCAUUUUCCAGAAUCGGAGCCUGGUUUACUUCUGUUCUUCCUACAUCAUUGUUCCAAAACUUUUAUGAAGGACUUUCCAGUCUCAAUAGAAUUUUAACACUUUAUGUGUUUCAACAUCUCACUCCGUCAUUAGUUCCCCGAAAGCUCGCCCUAGAAUUUACUGGACUGUUCCCUACUGCCGAUCAUCCCUUCUGAAAGCAGAAGAGCAACUGUGUGUUGGAAUGAGGAGCUUAGUUGAGGAGCUCAAGCAUGACUUUCCAUGGUGGGAGGAAGAAGAGAAUGGAACUUGCUUCGAAGAAAAACAAGUUUUAUAAUAUGGGUUAUUUGCCUACUUUUUUGGUAAAUAAAUUUACACUUAUGAAUAUUUUUAGAAAGUAGAAAUUUGAAGCUAAAAUUCUCACUAGAGGAAUAGUUUUAAAGGGGUAUUUAUUAAUUGUUAUAUAAACUAGAGAUUUUUAGUAAGAAAUCAUGUAUUUUACAUUAAUAUGCUUAAAAAUGGAAAAGGAGUAAAAGUGAUUUAAAGAUAAAUGUCUAAUUAACUAAUUGCCAAAUAUGGUAAUAUAAUGUGUUUUUGUCAUCUUGUGCUGAAUUCAAUAAA